Molecule: long non-coding RNA, 1332 nt
Filed under: Homo sapiens (human)
Lineage: Eukaryota; Metazoa; Chordata; Mammalia; Primates; Hominidae
Description: non-protein coding lnc-MRFAP1-2:7
Source: RNAcentral
AUUUUGGAUACCGUCCUCGCUGCGGAAAGUUGGGGCAACCUGUUGCUAGUCUGGUCGUUGGUGACAGCGAGGCUUCCGCGCUCGCUGCUGGUGGCCAACUGACGAACUGUGUUCACCUGAUAAGGAGUCGUGGCUGCUUGGACAGGCUCAAACCAAGAGAGCCUUUCGUUUUGUCUCCCCUGUUUUUCUGCCUGCGUUUUCUCCACAUUAGCCACUCAAUUUCCAGUACCAUCCUGGCGGAUGACUUCAGCAUUAGAUGGUCAGGUGUAUUUUUUUAUUAAUAGGCGCAUUCAGUUUGGAAAAGACAGCUUUUCAUUAAUGUCCCACGUAAAGGAAUAUGGCCUAUACAGUACGUACGCUGCUGCGUGGUCAUAUUUGUUCCUGUGAUCUUAUUGUAUUUUCAAAGUUUGGAAGUAUACUCGUGUGCUUUGCUGUUUUUUUAUGCUUCCUGGAAUUUGGGGACUCAUGAGAGACUUGAGGUUAGAGUUCUGCAAGUGAGAAGACACUACAUGGUUGCAGCUGCCACAUGAAGAACCCAAGCUCCUGUCAAAGUUGUGAAUGCGACUUUGGAUGAGAUUAAGAAGGCCCAGUGGACGGUUGGUCUUGAAGAGUGGCAGUGUGUGGAUUUGAGGACCUCUGCAGACCAUCAGAUCAAAGGAGGGAGAGCUGUUUUGGGUGUUUUGUUUUUUUUGUUUUUAUAGCAUUUUGCUUUUUCUUGGAAUGUAAUUUUCCUAUGGCAUGUUAACUGGUGCACAUCGUGUAACCUGUCUGGUGAGCAACCUACAAUUGGGAUGAGUUCUAGGUACAUGUGUUUGCUGACUUUGGGGUAAACAACUUUGUUAUAAUACAGUCUCUGCCACAGAUGCAUGUGACCUCUUCAGGGGCCCAGAGUGGCUGAGGAAGGAAAGCUUCAAGCUGGCCAUGGGGGUCCCAAACAGUCAUUCCAGGCUUAGAUGAUGACUAGCCUAGGUCAUCAGAGCCCAGACUCCACAGAGACUAAAAUCAGAGCUCUGUCUUGUUAUGAUAAAUUUCAUUUGCUUGGAAAAAGAAAUGCUGAAAGCCAGUGUUUAGAAUCUUUGUGCAGAUGACCAAAGCAAUUGACUUGGCCAAGAAAAGGUAAGGUAAAUAAACAUUUUUCAAAAUGAGUUUCUCCUUGAUAGUGGUCACUGUCAAAUGGAGGAGAAUUGCUUCUGACUCACGAGUUGUUCAAAGCCUGUAGCCCAGGGUGGGGUUUGAGCUGCAGAAGAAGAAGAAGGCAGACCUAGAGUAGGAAAGGGGUGCCUCAUGAAGCCAUAUGGUCUGGCCCCAGCCUUUGGAGAGGUGAAGUCCAUU